GUCGAACGAUGAACCUCACUUGUGGGGGGAUUAGUGGCGAACGGGUGAGUAACACGUGAGUAACCUGCCCUUGACUCUGGGAUAAGCCUGGGAAACUGGGUCUAAUACCGGAUAUGACCUUCCAUCGCAUGGUGGUUGGUGGAAAGCUUUUGCGGUUUUGGAUGGACUCGCGGCCUAUCAGCUUGUUGGUGGGGUAAUGGCCUACCAAGGCGACGACGGGUAGCCGGCCUGAGAGGGUGACCGGCCACACUGGGACUGAGACACGGCCCAGACUCCUACGGGAGGCAGCAGUGGGGAAUAUUGCACAAUGGGCGCAAGCCUGAUGCAGCGACGCCGCGUGAGGGAUGACGGCCUUCGGGUUGUAAACCUCUUUCAGUAGGGAAGAAGCGUAAGUGACGGUACCUGCAGAAGAAGCGCCGGCUAACUACGUGCCAGCAGCCGCGGUAAUACGUAUGGCGCAAGCGUUAUCCGGAAUUAUUGGGCGUAAAGAGCUCGUAGGCGGUUUGUCGCGUCUGCCGUGAAAGUCCGGGGCUCAACUCCUGAUCUGCGGUGGGUACGGGCAGACUAUAGUGAUGUAGGGGAGACUGGAAUUCCUGGUGUACCGGUGAAAUGCGCAGAUAUGACGAGGAACACCGAUGGC
This 640-nucleotide ribosomal RNA is filed under the name Pseudarthrobacter sp. MZ0480B2. RNAcentral describes it as "bacterial SSU rRNA". It matches the Rfam family "Bacterial small subunit ribosomal RNA", at positions 61 to 716 of the family's 1533-position model. The record is from RNAcentral. Lineage: Bacteria; Bacillati; Actinomycetota; Actinomycetes; Micrococcales; Micrococcaceae.